RNAcentral lists this ribosomal RNA (507 nucleotides) under uncultured bacterium. RNAcentral's name for it is "bacterial SSU rRNA". It matches the Rfam family "Bacterial small subunit ribosomal RNA", at positions 28 to 526 of the family's 1533-position model. The record is from RNAcentral.
GAUGAACGCUAGCGGCAGGCUUAACACAUGCAAGUCGAGGGGUAACAGGGAGAAGCUUGCUUUUCUGCUGACGACCGGCGAACGGGUGCGUAACGCGUAUAGAAUCUGCCUUGUACAGGAGGAUAGCCUUUAGAAAUGAAGAUUAAUACUCCAUAGUGUAGGGAAGUGGCAUCACUAUCUUACUAAAGAUUUAUUGGUACAAGAUGACUAUGCGUCCUAUUAGCUAGAUGGUAAGGUAACGGCUUACCAUGGCUACGAUAGGUAGGGGGUCUGAGAGGACUAUCCCCCACACUGGUACUGAGACACGGACCAGACUCCUACGGGAGGCAGCAGUGAGGAAUAUUGGUCAAUGGAGGCAACUCUGAACCAGCCAUGCCGCGUGCAGGAAGACUGCCCUAUGGGUUGUAAACUGCUUUUAUACGGGAAGAAACAACUCUACGUGUAGAGUCUUGACGGUACCGUAAGAAUAAGCACCGGCUAACUCCGUGCCAGCCGCCGCCGUAACAC